Molecule: non-coding RNA, 26 nt
Filed under: Mus musculus (house mouse)
Lineage: Eukaryota; Metazoa; Chordata; Mammalia; Rodentia; Muridae
Source: RNAcentral
UGGAGCUGCUGGUCCGUGGUGAAUUU